AUACGGAGGAUCCGAGCGUUAUCCGGAUUUAUUGGGUUUAAAGGGAGCGUAGGCGGACUAUUAAGUCAGCUGUGAAAGUUUGCGGCUCAACCGUAAAAUUGCAGUUGAUACUGGUCGUCUUGAGUGCAGUAGAGGUAGGCGGAAUUCGUGGUGUAGCGGUGAAAUGCUUAGAUAUCACGAAGAACUCCGAUUGCGAAGGCAGCUACUGGACUGUAACUGACGCUGAUGCUCGAAAGUGUGGGUAUCAAACAGGAUUAGAUACCCUGGUAGUCCGCACAGUAAACGAUGAAUACUCGCUGUUUGCGAUACACUGUAAGCGGCCAAGCGAAAGCGUUAAGUAUUCCACCUGGGGAGUACGCCGGCAACGGUGAAACUCAAAGGAAUUGACGGGG
This 392-nucleotide ribosomal RNA is filed under the name uncultured bacterium. RNAcentral's name for it is "partial 16S ribosomal RNA". It matches the Rfam family "Bacterial small subunit ribosomal RNA", at positions 523 to 918 of the family's 1533-position model. The record is from RNAcentral.